Molecule: ribosomal RNA, 253 nt
Filed under: uncultured bacterium
Lineage: Bacteria
Description: partial 16S ribosomal RNA
Rfam family: Bacterial small subunit ribosomal RNA
Source: RNAcentral
GACGGAGGAUGCAAGCGUUAUCCGGAAUUAUUGGGCGUAAAGCGUCCGCAGGUGGCUGUUCAAGUCUGCUGUCAAAGCGCAGAGCUUAACCCUGGAAAGGCGGUGGAAACUGAAGCGCUAGAGUGCGGUAGGGGUAGAGGGAAUUCCCGGUGUAGCGGUGAAAUGCGUAGAGAUCGGGAAGAACAUCGGUGGCGAAAGCGCUCUACUGGACCGCAACUGACACUCAGGGACGAAAGCUAGGGGAGCGAAUGGG